This 525-nucleotide ribosomal RNA is filed under the name Zygoascus hellenicus. Its description in RNAcentral is "eukaryotic LSU rRNA". It matches the Rfam family "Eukaryotic large subunit ribosomal RNA", at positions 62 to 591 of the family's 3401-position model. The record is from RNAcentral. Lineage: Eukaryota; Fungi; Ascomycota; Dipodascomycetes; Dipodascales; Trichomonascaceae.
AAACCAACAGGGAUUGCCUUAGUAGCGGCGAGUGAAGCGGCAAAAGCUCAAAUUUGAAAUCUGGUACUUUCAGUAUCCGAGUUGUAAUUUGUAGAAGCAACUUUGGUGAUGGUCUUUGCAUAAGUUCCUUGGAAUAGGACGUCAUAGAGGGUGAGAAUCCCGUUUAUGGUGAAGAACCCACACUAUGUAAAGUGCUUUCGAAGAGUCGAGUUGUUUGGGAAUGCAGCUCAAAGUGGGUGGUAAAUUCCAUCUAAAGCUAAAUAUUGGCGAGAGACCGAUAGCGAACAAGUACUGUGAAGGAAAGAUGAAAAGAACUUUGAAAAGAGAGUGAAAAAGUACGUGAAAUUGUUGAAAGGGAAGGGAUCUAAAUCAGACAUGGUAUUUUGUGAUCAACAGUCUUUCGGGACUGUGCACUCGCAUUUUACUAGGCCAGCAUCGGUUAGAAGGGGGUAAAAAAGAUUUUGGAAUGUGGCUCUUCGGAGUGUUAUAGCCAAGGUUAAUUGCCCCAUUUCUGACCGAGGACCG